AUGCUCCGGCUCCGUCGCAGCCUCCUCUCCCAUAUCCUCUCGUCCCCCUCCGCCUCUCCCAUCUCCCACCUCAGCCGCCUCAUCUCCGCCGCCGCGCCCGCCGUCUCCUCGAACCCUAGCUUCGCAGCGGAGGACUACCUCGUCUCCACCUGCGGCCUCACCCGGGCACAGGCCCUCAAGGCCUCCGCCAAGAUCUCCCACCUCAAGUCCCCAGCUAAUCCCGAUGCCGUCCUCUCAUUCCUCGCCGGCCUGGGUCUCUCCACCACCGAGGCCGCCGCCCUCAUAGCCAAGGACCCGCAGUUCCUCUGCGCCAGGGUUGAGAGGACCCUGGCGCCCGUCGUCGUCGAGCUCACCGCUCUCGGUCUGUCGCACUCUGAGAUCGCGCGCCUAGCCUCACUCAGCGGCCGCCAAUUCCGUUGUAGACCCAUCGUCUCCAGGCUGCAAUACUACCUGCGCCUCUUCGGCACCUCCCACAACCUCCUCCGAGUGAUGAAGUUCUGCAAUGUCCUCUCAUACAACCUCGACAGGGUGGUCAAGCCCAAUUUGGCGUUACUGCAAGGGUGCGGGCUAGCUGCUUGUGAUAUUGCCAAGCUGUGCAUCUCAACACCGAGGUUGCUCGCCGCCAGCCCCAAGCGUGUCCAGGCGAUUGUGGCGUGCGCUCAAAACAUAGGUGUGCCCCGUGGUUCUGGGAUGUUCAGGCACGCGCUGCGUGCUGUUGCAUCUUGCAGAGAGGAGGAGAUAGCAGCCAGAGUGGAGUACUUGAGGAACACGUUCAGGUGGACGGAUGCUGAGGUAGGCAUGGCCAUUUCUAAGUUUCCACCGGUGCUGAAUAAGUCCAAGGAAUCGCUGCAGCUCAGGUCUGAGUUCCUCAUCUCCGAGGCGGGUUUGGAACCGGUGCACAUUGCUCAACGGUCGGUAAUACUCGGGCACAGCCUAGAGGGACGGCUCAGGCCCCGGUACUAUGCUAUGAGGUUUCUCAAGGAAAAUGGAUUGCUCAAGCGCGACUCAAGCUACUAUACUGUUUUCAAGGAGUCCGACAUGACAUUCAAGAAGAAGUUCAUACACCCUCAUAAGGAAGCUGCACCGCACCUUGAAAAAGACUACGAUGCUGCUUGCAAAGGGGAAGUGCCCACUAAUUUCAGAUUCACAUAA
Molecule: ribosomal RNA, 1152 nt
Filed under: Triticum aestivum (bread wheat)
Lineage: Eukaryota; Viridiplantae; Streptophyta; Magnoliopsida; Poales; Poaceae
Description: partial small subunit ribosomal RNA
Source: RNAcentral